CCUGCCCUUAGAGGCCUUGUGGGUGUGGCUACUGUGUCACACGUGUGUCAGCAGGCAUCAGAGAGAAGAAAGGCUGUCUGAGAUUAGUGUUUUGACCUGUGAACAUGUGAAUGAUUACUAGCCUAGCAUA
This is a small nucleolar RNA of Acomys russatus (golden spiny mouse), 130 nucleotides long. RefSeq annotates it as small nucleolar RNA SNORA17. The record is from RefSeq and is a predicted model, not a curated record. Lineage: Eukaryota; Metazoa; Chordata; Mammalia; Rodentia; Muridae. The transcript has a single exon.